This 1313-nucleotide long non-coding RNA is filed under the name Fukomys damarensis (Damara mole-rat). Its description in RNAcentral is "lncRNA (ENSFDAG00000027238.1)". The record is from RNAcentral. Lineage: Eukaryota; Metazoa; Chordata; Mammalia; Rodentia; Bathyergidae.
GCUUGAGCUAUCUCAAAAGCAAUUAAAAAUGUAAAACAAAUUUGGGACAAAACCCCUCUGAUCUUUCUUCAGCUGCUCUACAAAUGGAAAAAUACUAAGUAAAGAGAUUUGUGUCAUAGGAAAGGUAUUAUUAAUGGCACGUCUUGGCAAGGAUGUAGAGCAGUUGCGACUCUGGUGAUGGAAUUGCAGCGGGGGUGUCGCCUGUGGACCCUGGGGGGCUGUCUGCUAAAGCUCAAGGACACCUGUGGCUCAGCCCCUCGACUCCACCAGGAGUGAGACACGCGUCUGAUAAAAUGUGAACACAUUUACCAAGAACGAGACACAUGCCCGAUAAAAUGUGAACAUGUUUCUCUUAUGUGUAAUAGAAAAAAACUGAAAGCCACCCAAAUGCCUGGCAAGAGUAGAUGGAGAAGCUGGUAUCCAUACAAUGAAACACAAUAUGACAGACAAAAAACUGCUACAUCCAACACAAGUGAGUCCCAUAAACACCACACUGAGCGAAAGCAGCCAGAGGCCCAGAGCACACACUGCAUGACUGCCUCACCUAGAACUGAAACCAACCUGAGCUGUGCAGGAGGUUGGCACAGUAGCUGCUCCUGGUAGACAGUGAUUGGGAAGGAGACCAGGCUAGGAGUGCCUGGUUACAGAUGCUUCUUGAGCUGUGACCUUUGGUGGAAACGCACCCUGGGAAGUGUGUGCACUGUGCAUCUUGUGCUAGGUAGGACACCGCAAAGGCUUCUUCUGUCCAAAGCCUGGCUAGGCAAUUGGUCUACGGGGUGGAGACACGGCCAGCACGCUGCGUGGGAACAUGGGGCCCACUCUGGCCCGUGGGUGAUCGCCUCCUCUUCCAGCCUCACUCUCCUCUUCCGGAAGAGAGGGAUGUCACCAGCUGACUCUAGUGCAGGCACAGGGGCCUCAGAACCAGCGCGUGUAAUCCCUGAGCGCUUGGAGAAAAGGAGUGCCUCCGACAGGCCUGACCAGGCGGGUCUGCACAGAAGGGCUCAGAAACGACACCCGGACAGACGGCGCGGCCCUGUGUCCGUGGACCCCGCAGGUGACAGAGCAAAGCUGCAGCAUGGGCAGUGCAGAGGGAGGUUCUGGUGCCAGGAUCCGAGCCAGCACCAGGCUUGCUCCUGCAGGUGGGCAGCGGCCUGGGACAAGUGACCCUGUGGCCUGGGCCUCUGCCCUGAGGAGUACGCUGGCCCAGGUGCGUGGAAGUGACUGUGAGGGCCUGUGGGGUGAGGCCACUGCUGCACCCACAUCAGGAGGUGCUGAGUGCCAGGGACCAGCCACAGCCCAGCACCACCCCACAG